CAGGCAGCCAAUCAAUAACCGCCCUUCUGCCUGGGCUGCGACUUUACCAACUUCGCAACGCGACAUUGUACCUGCGAUGAUCGCCACCGUUCGAGCAAUCCAUGGCGUCCUCGAGAAUUUUUAAAGGAACUGGAAUCUUUCUGGUGAAGUUGAACGAGGAAUUUUUAGGGGAACAGCGGGGGAAAAGUUUAAAAUUUGAAAGAAUCUUUGGUAAUUGAUCAAAGAAGAGGAAAUAUUACACGGUGGACGACGAUUUUUAUUAAGACAGUGUUGCAGUGGCCUCGAGGAGGGCAAAAGGAACAAACGAUUAAGAAAGUUGUUUAAACCGAGCCAUGAGGGGCGCAGGGUACGGCGAAUUGGAGUUGCACCGUUUCGACUAAAGCGCGAUUGGGACUCGAUGACACGGCCGGCGUGCUAUCGAUUUUAGGUUAUGUCCAAUGAAACGCGUCCAAUAUAAAUUCUCACGAUAGCGCGCCACUCGAAACAGCCUCCGUGACGCUGCUAGUCAACUGGCAGAUAUUUAUAGAGAAACAACUGUGAGAAGAAGUUGAGAAUGUUGAGGCUUAAUCGCAGUGAAAUAUAAGCAGAAAAACAAAUUUUAAUAUAUAACAAGACGAUCCAGGAAUUGCUGCAAACUAUUGCAACCACCGCUACGUUCAUAAAUGGGUCAAAUUUUGUAAUUGGUGAAUAAAUCAAAUAAAAUCCUGAAGCACAAAUAAUCUCACCACUUUCAGUUGGGGAAGCAUCUAAACUGAUAAAUCAAAAUGCUAUCCGUAAUUACUGCGUUAGUUAUAACGCCAGGGAAUUUCAGAUAAUGUGUUCGCAUUAAAUCCCUCCACUCGAAAAUAGCUGAAUGAAUUUCGUUCAAUUAUCAGGGGAAGCUAGAAACGCGCGUGCCAUUACGGAAAUUGUUAAACUUUCCACUCGGAUACUCUGCGACUGCAAAUUGCUUAUCUCUUUGUUACGGAAGGGUGGGAACGCGCUUGAUGAUACUGACGAAGGCUAGUGACCAUUGCGUAAAACGCGAUAAAACACGUCUGAGGAAAUGAUAUCGUUAAAAUAAAUGUAAAUAAACUUGGAAUUAUAAUUGUAAUUUACGGCAAUAUUACAUGUGUGGUUACACUUAAUCGCGUGGAUGAUAUUAUCACAAAUUGUGAUUGUAUCGAGACGUAAAUUGAAUCGAUAUAUGUCUCGACAUUUUUAAUAUUUGAAGUUGUAAGGAAUGGGAAUAAGCGAUGCAAUUCCACGGCCUAACCACACACACGCAUAAUGUGUGUUCAUUAAUUAGUAAGAAAGUUUGUUCUUUUUCUUAAUCUGAAGGAUAAAUAAGAGAAUUAAUGAGUUAUGUUUGACCGAUGACAGAUAAUCUAAAAAGCGUCGAUAAAGCUCAAAUUGUCUGAUAGUAAAACAGAUUUCCGAUUUAUCGUCAAUAGAAUGCUACUUUAUGUGGAAUCUACAAUAUCGACUAGUCAGUAAGGAAGAACGUUACAAAUUUUCACAAAGAAUUUUAGAAUUUACCAACAGCGCAGCAAAAGUCAUUUUUCAAGCAA
Bombus huntii is the source of this 1550-nucleotide long non-coding RNA. RefSeq lists it as uncharacterized. NCBI's taxonomy places the organism in Eukaryota, Metazoa, Arthropoda, Insecta, Hymenoptera, Apidae. The transcript has 3 exons. The record is from RefSeq and is a predicted model, not a curated record.